RNAcentral lists this transfer RNA (71 nucleotides) under human gut metagenome. It matches the Rfam family "tRNA". From Rfam's summary of the family: Transfer RNA (tRNA) molecules are approximately 80 nucleotides in length. RNAcentral also lists the same sequence under 1 other name. The record is from RNAcentral.
GGGCUGUAGCUCAGUUGGUAGAGUGCCUGGUUCGCAUUCAGGAGGUCGUGGGUUCGAAUCCCAUCAGUUCC